CAAUCCCAUCUCUGGGGGCCUGCCCAACAACCUCGGAGAGCAGCAAAACUGCAAACUUCAGACGGGCCUGGACAUGUACUGGCUUAAGCAGUGGGACACGUCUGGCACUGCAGGAUUUGAGUCCCUGGCGGCGUAGUGUGUUACUGAUGGUGCCAUUAAUACAGGUAAUGAGUGGAGGACAGAGGAGCCUCUUAAAGAAGAAGUUACAGGUCUGUGAGAGCCAGAAAUCUUGCUUGUUUGUUGGUGACCAAAUACUUUUUUUCAACCAUAAUUUGCAAAUAAAUUCAUUAAAAAUCCUACAAUGUGAUUUUCCUGAUUUAGUUUUUCAUUUUGUCUGUCAUAGUUGAAGUGUACCUAUGAUGACAAUUACAGGCCUCUCAUCUUUUUAUGUGGGAGAACUUGCACAAUUGGUGGCUGACUAAAUACUUUUUUGCCCCACUGUAUGUCGCAAGAUAAUUUGCCCUUAUUAAACUCUCCUGAUCAUUUUCCAUCAAUGGAUGUUGACUUAACCUUUUUUGACUGC
Long non-coding RNA from Oncorhynchus tshawytscha (Chinook salmon), 523 nucleotides. The record is from Ensembl. NCBI's taxonomy places the organism in Eukaryota, Metazoa, Chordata, Actinopteri, Salmoniformes, Salmonidae.